AACGAACGCUGGCGGCAUGCCUAACACAUGCAAGUCGAACGAGACCUUCGGGUCUAGUGGCGCACGGGUGCGUAACGCGUGGGAACCUGCCCUUAGGUUCGGAAUAACUCCCCGAAAGGGGUGCUAAUACCGGAUAAUGUCUUCGGACCAAAGAUUUAUCGCCUUUGGAUGGGCCCGCGUUGGAUUAGCUAGUUGGUAGGGUAAAAGCCUACCAAGGCGACGAUCCAUAGCUGGUCUGAGAGGAUGAUCAGCCACACUGGGACUGAGACACGGCCCAGACUCCUACGGGAGGCAGCAGGGGGGAAUAUGGGACAAUGGGCGAAAGCCUGAGCCAGCAAUGCCGCGUGAGUGAUGAAGGCCUUAGGGUUGUAAAGCUCUUUUACCCGGGAUGAUAAUGACAGUACCGGGAGAAUAAGCUCCGGCUAACUCCGUG
This 433-nucleotide ribosomal RNA is filed under the name uncultured bacterium. Its description in RNAcentral is "partial 16S ribosomal RNA". It matches the Rfam family "Bacterial small subunit ribosomal RNA", at positions 29 to 507 of the family's 1533-position model. The record is from RNAcentral.